CAAAAACAUGUCUUUUUGAAUUUAAAUAUAAAGUCUAACCUGCCCACUGUUUAAUGGCCGCAGUAUUUUGACUGUGCAAAGGUAGCAUAAUCAUUAGUCUUUUAAUUGAAGGCUUGUAUGAAUGGUUGAAUGAAAUAUUAACUGUCUUUUUAUUUUUUAGUUAAAAAGCUAAAAAAGACGAGAAGACCCUAUAAAUCUUUAAUUUUAUUGGGGUGAUAGUAAAAUUUAUUAAACUUUUACAUUGAUCCAUUUAUGAUUAAGUUACUUUAGGGAUAACAGCGUAAUUUUUUUAAAGAGUUCAUAUUGAUAAAAAAGAUUGCGACCUCGAUGUUGGAUUAAGAUAUAAAUUUAGGUGCAGAAGUUUAAAUUUAAAGUCUGUUCGACCUUACAUGAUCUGAGUCAAAACCGGAGA
This 412-nucleotide ribosomal RNA is filed under the name Coniceromyia niemeyeri. Its description in RNAcentral is "partial large subunit ribosomal RNA". It matches the Rfam family "Bacterial large subunit ribosomal RNA", at positions 1808 to 2622 of the family's 2925-position model. Lineage: Eukaryota; Metazoa; Arthropoda; Insecta; Diptera; Phoridae. The record is from RNAcentral.